Molecule: microRNA precursor, 125 nt
Filed under: Hordeum vulgare
Lineage: Eukaryota; Viridiplantae; Streptophyta; Magnoliopsida; Poales; Poaceae
Description: microRNA MIR1122
Rfam family: MIR1120/MIR1122 microRNA precursor family
Source: RNAcentral
AUUAUACUCCCUUCAUCCGAAAUUACUUGUCGCACAAAUGGAUGUAUUUAGACUUAUUUUAGUUUUAGAUACAUCCAUUUCUAUGCAUUUUUGUGACAAGUAAUUUCGGACGAAGGGAGUAUGAA